Molecule: unclassified non-coding RNA, 313 nt
Filed under: Hevea brasiliensis (rubber tree)
Lineage: Eukaryota; Viridiplantae; Streptophyta; Magnoliopsida; Malpighiales; Euphorbiaceae
Source: RNAcentral
AGAUCACAAUAGAAAGGUGGACUCCCACUUUUGCUAACUUAAAAUAUUGCAGACUAUGUUAAUAGUUUCUAUCACCAAACUUCCUAUGUUUAAAUCAUCACCAAUCCCUUGGCUUAACAACAGUCAUAUGCAUUUUCUAUAAUUGUCGAUUAACCCGCUUUUGGUCUCUCAGUACAAAAAUGUACCUCCGAUAUUUUUGCAGUACACCCAGUUGAUAUCUUAGCACUAUGCUAGGUAAAAUCAUAGCAUGAAAACACUAACAUCAUGACACGCCUCAACUUCCUGAGUCGCUCCACCAAAAGCUAACCGAGAA